Molecule: long non-coding RNA, 1128 nt
Organism: Electrophorus electricus (electric eel)
Lineage: Eukaryota; Metazoa; Chordata; Actinopteri; Gymnotiformes; Gymnotidae
Source: Ensembl
CGCUUGGGAAGGCCGGAUUAGAUUUAACCAAAAACAUCAAGGGCGUCUUCGUUGUGUAGUCGCUCCUCAAGGACCUAUAAUCGGUAACAGGUGUUUUUGCCUUGAACAGCUCGCGUCCACUGGCAUCGUCAAAGGAUUACCACCUCGGUGCCCAGCCAGUCUCUCCUUUGCCACACAGGCCUCGCUUCCCAUCUGAGCCAGGCGGAGAGCGUCAGUAGCAAAACGGAAAAACCGUGCUCAGGGUUUGUGGCACACCAGCGCUCGGCAGCCACCUCAGGAAGAACAGGAAGUUUGACCCAAGGGCUUGUGACUGCAGGGUCAGACUGGACAAGGUCAAGUAAGGGCAGGUAUGCAUGUGUGUCCGUUCAUGUACAUGUCGAGAUUACAGGAGCACCUGCAGAUUAGCUUCCAUCUUGCUCUCUUGGAUGUAAGGGCUCUGUGAUGGAGUUCUGUUAAGAUGAAGGCUGUGGUUAGAAGUGGAGAAAGGAGUGAGAUGUAUGUAUUUUAGGAAGCCAUAACUCUGAUAAACAUUGCCCAGUGUUUUAUAAAUUAAUAAGCACUCACACCCCUGAUAUCUUCUUGCACCUGGGUGUGGAUUGUGCGUUUUAUUUGUUUGCCUCGUAUUAAAUUAACAGUGUGUUUUCCUAAUAUUUGAUUACAAGCUAGUGUUCUUGUGAAACCAACACUGCAGUUAUUAGAUCCCACUUACAAAGAUAAAUAAUGGCACCAUUCUUUUAUAGAUACAGUUGAAAUCCAGACUGUGGGAUAAAGGCUCAAAGUGACUUAACCUGAUAUGUGCAGGUGAAGAAUCACGGUCCAGUCGAUCAGUCUUGGUGGCCAGCUAAACGAGUAGCAGCAUGUUGAUGUUGGUCUUUAGGCACUGAUGUGAGCCUACGCCAGCCAUUUCCAUGUAAGCUCUUAUAGCACUCAUGCAUGACAAUCCAUGCCUGCUACAUGAGCAUACUGCUACGCUGUACUCAGAUGUAAUUCACCUCCGAAAUAACAGUGGCACACCGAAGUUUGAUCUGAAAAAAAAGAAUGCAAAAACUAGCUGCUGUGCUACUGACGGGUGACGGGUAUUCUGGAGUUAAAGAUGGCAUUCACGCACAGUUCCUUUCCAUAAAGUAA